CCUACGGGAGGCAGCAGUGGGGAAUUUUGCGCAAUGGCGGAGACCCUGACGCAGCGACGCGCGCGUGAAGGAUGAAGGUCUUCGGAUUGUAAACUUCUUCUGUCGAGGAAGAUUAUGACGGUACCCGAUGAAUAAGCCACGGCUAGCUCUGUGCCAGCAGCCGCGG
RNAcentral lists this ribosomal RNA (166 nucleotides) under uncultured Nitrospirota bacterium. Its description in RNAcentral is "uncultured Nitrospirae bacterium partial 16S ribosomal RNA". It matches the Rfam family "Bacterial small subunit ribosomal RNA", at positions 338 to 520 of the family's 1533-position model. Lineage: Bacteria; Pseudomonadati; Nitrospirota. The record is from RNAcentral.